Molecule: ribosomal RNA, 253 nt
Filed under: uncultured bacterium
Lineage: Bacteria
Description: partial 16S ribosomal RNA
Rfam family: Bacterial small subunit ribosomal RNA
Source: RNAcentral
UACAGAGGGGGCGAGCGUUGUUCGGAAUUACUGGGCGUAAAGGGCGCGUAGGCGGCCCGCUAAGUCGAACGUGAAAUCCCCAGGCUCAACCUGGGAACUGCGUCCGAUACUGGCAGGCUUGAAUCCGGGAGAGGGGUGUGGAAUUCCAGGUGUAGCGGUGAAAUGCGUAGAUAUCUGGAGGAACACCUGUGGUGUAGACGGCUUACUGGACCGCAACUGACGCUGAGACACGAAAGUGUGGGGAUCAAACAGG